RNAcentral lists this ribosomal RNA (408 nucleotides) under uncultured bacterium. Its description in RNAcentral is "bacterial SSU rRNA". It matches the Rfam family "Bacterial small subunit ribosomal RNA", at positions 81 to 505 of the family's 1533-position model. The record is from RNAcentral.
AGUAGCAAUACUUAGUGGCAGACGGGUGAGUAACACGUAGUCAACCUACCUUUUAGUGGGGGAUAACUAGCCGAAAGGUUAGCUAAUACCGCAUGUGACCGUCGAGUGGCAUCAUUUGACGAUCAAAGCAGCAAUGCGCUAAGAGACGGGACUGCGUCCCAUUAGUUAGUUGGUGGGGUAAUGGCCUACCAAGACUCCGAUGGGUAGCUGGCUUGAGAGAGCGACCAGCCACACUGGAACUGAGACACGGUCCAGACUCCUACGGGAGGCAGCAGUGAGGAAUUUUCCGCAAUGGGGGCAACCCUGACGGAGCGACGCCGCGUGUGGGAAGAAGGCCUUCGGGUCGUAAACCACUGUCGAGGGGGACGAUAUUGACGGUACCCCUGGAGGAAGCCCCGGCUAACUACG